GAGGGUAUAGCUCAAGUGGCAGAGCACAGGCUUAGCAUGCACAAGGUCCUGGGUUCGAUCCCCAGUACCUCCU
RNAcentral lists this transfer RNA (73 nucleotides) under Camelus bactrianus (Bactrian camel). It matches the Rfam family "tRNA". From Rfam's summary of the family: Transfer RNA (tRNA) molecules are approximately 80 nucleotides in length. Lineage: Eukaryota; Metazoa; Chordata; Mammalia; Artiodactyla; Camelidae. The record is from Rfam by way of RNAcentral. RNAcentral also lists the same sequence under 2 other names.